GACGAACGCUGGCGGCGUGCUUAACACAUGCAAGUCGAACGGAAAGGCCCUGCUUUUGUGGGGUGCUCGAGUGGCGAACGGGUGAGUAACACGUGAGUAACCUGCCCUUGACUUUGGGAUAACUUCAGGAAACUGGGGCUAAUCCCGUAUAGGAGCUCCUGUUGCAUGGUGGGGGUGGGAACGUUUCGGCGGUGGGGGAUGGACUCGCGGCUUAUCAGCUUGUUGGUUGGGUAGUGGCUUACCAAGGCAUUGACGGGUAGCCGGCCUGGGAGGGUGACCGGCCACAGUGGGACUGAGAUACGGCCCAGACGCCUACGGGAGGCAGCAGUGGGGAAUAUUGCACAAUGGGCGGAAGCCUGAUGCAGAAGCGCCGCGUGCGGGAUGACCGCCUUCGGGUUGUAAACCGCUUUCGCCUGUGACGAAGCGUGAGUGACGGUAAUGGGUAAAGAAGCACCGGCUAACUACGUG
This 468-nucleotide ribosomal RNA is filed under the name uncultured bacterium. RNAcentral's name for it is "partial 16S ribosomal RNA". It matches the Rfam family "Bacterial small subunit ribosomal RNA", at positions 28 to 507 of the family's 1533-position model. The record is from RNAcentral.